RNAcentral lists this ribosomal RNA (497 nucleotides) under uncultured bacterium. Its description in RNAcentral is "partial 16S ribosomal RNA". It matches the Rfam family "Bacterial small subunit ribosomal RNA", at positions 28 to 507 of the family's 1533-position model. The record is from RNAcentral.
GAUGAACGCUGGCGGCGUGCCUAAUACAUGCAAGUCGAGCGAACGGACGAGAAGCUUGCUUCUCUGAUGUUAGCGGCGGACGGGUGAGUAACACGUGGAUAACCUACCUAUAAGACUGGGAUAACUUCGGGAAACCGUAGCUAAUACCGGAUAAUAUUUUGAACCGCAUGGUUCAAAAGUGAAAGACGGUCUUGCGGUCACUUAUAGAUGGAUCCGCGCUGCAUUAGCUAGUUGGUAAGGUAACGGCUUACCACGGCAACGAUGCAUAGCCGACCUGAGAGGGGGAGCGGCCACCUUGGAAGUGGGACAGCGUCCAGACUCCUGAGGGAGGCACCAGUAGGGAACCGUCCGCAAUGGGCGAAAGCCUUACGGAGCAACGCCGAGUGAGUGAUGAAGGUCUUCGGAUCGUAAAACUCUGUUAUUAGGGAAGAACAUAUGUGUCAGUAAAUGUGCACAUCUUGACGGUACCUAAUCAGAAAGCCCCGGCUAACUACGUG